This 1422-nucleotide ribosomal RNA is filed under the name Rhodococcus sp. CUB 1130. Its description in RNAcentral is "16S ribosomal RNA". It matches the Rfam family "Bacterial small subunit ribosomal RNA". Lineage: Bacteria; Bacillati; Actinomycetota; Actinomycetes; Mycobacteriales; Nocardiaceae. The record is from RNAcentral.
AGCGGCGAACGGGUGAGUAACACGUGGGUGAUCUGCCCUGCACUUCNGGAUAAGCCUGGGAAACUGGGUCUAAUACCGGAUAUGACCUCCUAUCGCAUGGUGGGUGGUGGAAAGAUUUAUCGGUGCAGGAUGGGCCCGCGGCCUAUCAGCUUGUUGGUGGGGUAAUGGCCUACCAAGGCGACGACGGGUAGCCCGACCUGACAGGGUGACCGGCCACACUGGGACUGAGACACGGCCCAGACUCCUACCGGGAGGCAGCAGUGGGGAAUAUUGCACAAUGGGCGAAAGCCUGAUGCAGCGACGCCGCGUGAGGGAUGACGGCCUUCGGGUUGUAAACCUCUUUCAGCAGGGACGAAGCGCAAGUGACGGUACCUGCAGAAGAAGCACCGGCUAACUACGUGCCAGCAGCCGCGGUAAUACGUAGGGUGCAAGCGUUGUCCGGAAUUACUGGGCGUAAAGAGUUCGUAGGCGGUUUGUCGCGUCGUUUGUGAAAACCAGCAGCUCAACUGCUGGCUUGCAGGCGAUACGGGCAGACUUGAGUACUGCAGGGGAGACUGGAAUUCCUGGUGUAGCGGUGAAAUGCGCAGAUAUCAGGAGGAACACCGGUGGCGAAGGCGGGUCUCUGGGCAGUAACUGACGCUGAGGAACGAAAGCGUGGGUAGCGAACAGGAUUANAUACCCUGGUAGUCCACGCCGUAAACGGUGGGCGCUAGGUGUGGGUUCCUUCCACNGAAUCCGUGCCGUAGCUAACGCAUUAAGCGCCCCGCCUGGGGAGUACCGCCGCAAGGCUAAAACUCAAAGAAUUGACGGGGGCCCGCACAAGCGGCGGAGCAUUGUGGAUUUAUUCCGAUGCAACGCGAAGAACCUUACCUGGGUUUGACAUAUACCGGAAAGCUGCAGAGAUGUGGCCCCCCUUGUGGUCGGUAUACAGGUGGUGCAUGGCUGUCGUCAGCUCGUGUCGUGAGAUGUUGGGUUAAGUCCCGCAACGAGCGCAACCCCUAUCUUAUGUUGCCAGCACGUUAUGGUGGGGACUCGUAAGAGACUGCCGGGGUCAACUCGGAGGAAGGUGGGGACGACGUCAAGUCAUCAUGCCCCUUAUGUCCAGGGCUUCACACAUGCUACAAUGGCCAGUACAGAGGGCUGCGAGACCGUGAGGUGGAGCCAAUCCCUUAAAGCUGGUCUCAGUUCGGAUCGGGGUCUGCAACUCGACCCCGUGAAGUCGGAGUCGCUAGUAAUCGCAGAUCAGCAACGCUGCGGUGAAUACGUUCCCGGGCCUUGUACACACCGCCCGUCACGUCAUGAAAGUCGGUAACACCCGAAGCCGGUGGCUUAACCCCUUGUGGGAGGGAGCCGUCGAANGUGGGAUCGGCGAUUGGGACGAAGUCGUAACCAGGUAGCCGUACCGGAAGGUGCGGCUGGAUC